Molecule: ribosomal RNA, 480 nt
Filed under: uncultured Actinomycetales bacterium
Lineage: Bacteria; Bacillati; Actinomycetota; Actinomycetes; Actinomycetales
Description: partial 16S ribosomal RNA
Source: RNAcentral
CACGUAGUUAGCCGGUGCUUCUUCUGCAGGUACCGUCUUGAUUCGUUCCUGCUGAAAGAGGUUUACAACCCGAAGGCCUUCAUCCCUCACGCGGCGUCGCUGCGUCAGGCUUCCGCCCAUUGCGCAAUAUUCCCCACUGCUGCCUCCCGUAGGAGUCUGGGCCGUGUCUCAGUCCCAGUGUGGCCGGUCGCCCUCUCAGGCCGGCUACCCGUCGUCGCCUUGGUAGGCCAUUACCCCACCAACAAGCUGAUAGGCCGCGGGCCCAUCCUUGACCGAAAAAACUUUCAACCACCACACAUGCGUGCAGCAGUGAUAUCCGGUAUUAGCAGCUGUUUCCAACUGUUAUCCCGAAGUCAAGGGCAGGUUACCCACGUGUUACUCACCCGUUCGCCACUCGAGUACCCGCAAGCGGGCCUUUCCGUUCGACUUGCAUGUGUUAAGCACGCCGCCAGCGUUCGUCCUGAGCCAGGAUCAAACUCU